UUUCCGGUUGAUCCUGCCGGACCCCACUGCUAUCGGGGUGGGACUAAGCCAUGCAAGUCGAAGGUCCCCGGCUCCGGGGGCCUGGCAGACGGCUCAGUAACACGUGGCCAACCUGCCCUCGGGAGGGGGAUAACCCCGGGAAACUGGGGUUAAACCCCCAUAGGCGGCGAGAUCUGGAAGGACUCGCCGCUGAAAGUGGUGCACGGGGAUGCUCCGUGCACCAGCCCGAGGAUGGGGCUGCGGCCCAUCAGGUUGUUGGCGGGGUAACGGCCCGCCAAGCCUAUAACGGGUACGGGCCCUGAGAGGGGGAGCCCGGAGAUGGGCUCUGAGACAAGAGCCCAGGCCCUACGGGGCGCAGCAGGCGCGAAACCUCCCCAAUGCCCGAAAGGGUGAGGGGGUCACCCCGAGUGCCGGCCUCGUGCCGGCUUUUGCCGGGUCUAAAUAGCCCGGCGAAUAAGGGGGGGGCAAGACGGGUGUCAGCCGCCGCGGUAAUACCCGCCCCCCGAGUGGUGGGGACUAUUACUGGGCUUAAAGCGCCCGUAGCCGGCCGGGUGUGUCCUCCGUCAAAUCCACGGGCCUAACCCGUGGGCUGCGGAGGAUACUACCCGGCUUGGGGGUGGAAGAGGGCGGCGGUAUUCCCGGGGUAGGGGUAAAAUCCUCUGAUCCCGGGAGGACCACCAGUGGCGAAGGCGGCCGCCCAGGACACGCCCGACGGUGAGGGGCGAAAGCUGGGGGAGCAAACGGGAUUAGAUACCCCGGUAGUCCCAGCUGUAAACGAUGCGGGCUAGGUGUCGGGUGGGCUACGGGCUCACCCGGUGCCGAAGGGAAACCAUUAAGCCCGCCGCCUGGGGAGUACGGCCGCAAGGCUGAAACUUAAAGGAAUUGGCGGGGGAGCACCACAAGGGGUGGACGUUGCGGCUUAAUUGGAGUCAACGCCGGG
Molecule: ribosomal RNA, 940 nt
Filed under: uncultured archaeon
Lineage: Archaea
Description: bacterial SSU rRNA
Rfam family: Archaeal small subunit ribosomal RNA
Source: RNAcentral